CGGCCAAAAAAGUAUGAGAUCUUCAUUGGUGAAAAAGAUUGGGCUGAGUUUGUAAAUCAAAGAGAUGAAGAUUUUCGGAAAAGGAGUGCCACGAAUAGUGCGAGAGCAUCCAAACCCGCGUAUCCAUACAAAAAAGGGCGUAUGGGAUAUGCACGCUUAGAGGAUAAACUUUUAGAGGAGUCUAAAAGUGAGGAAACCUCACUUCCUGUACAUGUGUUGUGGAGGGAAGCUCGUGUGGGCAAGAGUCAAGCUGUCGAUCCCGAAGUUCAGAGAGUUUUUACUGAAUGUGAGACCUUGUCGCAAUCGGCAUCCACCGGUGAGGGGAGCGUACUUAGUAGAGCACUAG
Long non-coding RNA from Vicia villosa (hairy vetch), 346 nucleotides. RefSeq lists it as uncharacterized. The record is from RefSeq and is a predicted model, not a curated record. NCBI's taxonomy places the organism in Eukaryota, Viridiplantae, Streptophyta, Magnoliopsida, Fabales, Fabaceae. The transcript has 3 exons.